This 289-nucleotide long non-coding RNA is filed under the name Homo sapiens (human). RNAcentral's name for it is "non-protein coding lnc-SAT2-2:9". The record is from RNAcentral. Lineage: Eukaryota; Metazoa; Chordata; Mammalia; Primates; Hominidae.
GUAGCAGAGAUUCUUCCAGCGCCCGGGAAGCUACUGGGUAAGAGCACCUGGCCCUUAGAAGUCCACCUCUCCAGCCGGCCUCAGAGGUCUCCCCACAGGCUUCCAGAAGCCUUACUCCCCUUUUCUCUCUCUCAGGGCCCUGCGUGGUGGGCUAUGGGAUAUACUAUUUCAUCUACAGUACAUGGAAGGGACGCACCAUUUAUCUGGAGGAUAUCUAUGUGAUGCCGGAAUAUCGGGGUACUGGGCAGAAGCUGAGGCUGGGGUGGGAGCAAAGCACCCCACAGACCCC